Molecule: ribosomal RNA, 253 nt
Filed under: uncultured bacterium
Lineage: Bacteria
Description: partial 16S ribosomal RNA
Rfam family: Bacterial small subunit ribosomal RNA
Source: RNAcentral
UACGUAGGGACCGAGCGUUGUCCGGAAUCAUUGGGCGUAAAGAGCUCGUAGGCGGUCUGUCGCGUCUGCUGUGAAAACUCGGGGCUUAACCCCGGGCCUGCAGUGGGUACGGGCAGACUAGAGUGCGGUAGGGGAGACUGGAAUUCCUGGUGUAGCGGUGAAAUGCGCAGAUAUCAGGAAGAACACCCGUGGCGAAGGCGGCUCUCUGGGACGGUACUGACGCUGAGACGCGAAAGCGUGGGGAGCGAACAGG